AGAGUUUGAUCAUGGCUCAGGGCGAACGCUGGCGGCGUGCCUAACACAUGCAAGUCGUACGUGAAAGCCCUCCUUCGGGAGGGUGAGUAGCGUGGCGGACGGGUGAGUAACGCGUGGGUAACCUGCCCUCAGGACUAGGGAUAACCCCGGGAAACUGGGGAUAAUACCGGAUAAGACCACAUCCCACCCUUAGGGGAUGGGGUUAAAGGUGGCCUCUGCCCUUCGGGGUAUGCUACCGCCUGAGGAUGGGCCCGCGUCCCAUCAGCUUGUUGGUGAGGUAACGGCUCACCAAGGCUGUGACGGGUAGCCGGCCUGAGAGGGUGGCCGGCCACACUGGCACUGAGACAAGGGCCAGACUCCUACGGGAGGCAGCAGUGAGGAAUAUUGGGCAAUGCCCGAA
RNAcentral lists this ribosomal RNA (400 nucleotides) under uncultured bacterium. RNAcentral describes it as "bacterial SSU rRNA". It matches the Rfam family "Bacterial small subunit ribosomal RNA", at positions 8 to 379 of the family's 1533-position model. The record is from RNAcentral.